AACCACUAGAAAAACAUUUAUUAGUGUCAGCCAAUUGAAUACGCUAAAGAUGAAAAAACUAACACUAAUAUGUCACUACUACGGAAAACACUUAUCACAACUGUUGGAAAAGGGAUACCACCAUAUUGGACCAACCGUUGUGAGGUAAGGUAUAGUUGUAUGUACGAUGCUUUCCAUAUAAUCUUUCAACCUGAUCUAGAAUAUUAUAAUAUGACAAAUUAAGUUAUAUUAGAAGAAC
This 238-nucleotide long non-coding RNA is filed under the name Lathyrus oleraceus (garden pea). Its description in RNAcentral is "Pisum sativum (pea) long non-coding RNA (PSAT_LNC032379)". Lineage: Eukaryota; Viridiplantae; Streptophyta; Magnoliopsida; Fabales; Fabaceae. The record is from RNAcentral.